Molecule: long non-coding RNA, 1971 nt
Organism: Drosophila sechellia
Lineage: Eukaryota; Metazoa; Arthropoda; Insecta; Diptera; Drosophilidae
Exons: 2
Source: RefSeq, a predicted model, not a curated record
UAAUCAUGGCGCACAAGCCGCAAAAGCCAAAAAAGCCGCACAUUGCGAAAUCGGAAAGUGCCACGCGUUUAGUGGCUGCAACUGCAGCAGCAACUGCAACUGCAGCAGCAACAUCACAGCGGCAACAUCAAGCUGCAACGGCAGCCACGCCAACAAGUGGGGCAAUCAGUCGAUGAAUCGCUUUGGGUAACUCCACUAUUGAGGCUUCAUUUUACUGACUUGACUAAAGAUUAAGGAUUAAGUAAAAGGUUAUAAGAAUCAGUGGCUAACCAGAAAUCAAAGAGAUCUCAACUGGUAUAAAAAUAUGAAUUACUUGCUACAAUUACUAAAGCUACAAAGAUUUCACCAUAAUACGUGUAAUAUUUGGCCUACGUAGCACUGAACUCAGUGUGUCGGCACUUUUAUGAUCUCUUACCUAAUGGAUCUGAGUUCUUAUCGACACUAUUAACUCACACGUUCCCGUUCCUUGUGUGCCAGACAAGAAGUAUCAAAGUCUUAGCAUCGCAUUUAUCAACCCUAAUCGAUCUGCACACAACAAAUUGCGAUUGCAUUGUCCAACCUGGGGGACUUUACCCAGAUAUAUGGUAUAUAUGGUGGUAAUGUAUAUAUAAUAUAUAUUCACAUUCUAUCGUGUCUGGGCGUCUACUUCCUGCCGUUGCACUUGGCACUCAACACUCGGCACUUGCUGCAGCCGGGGGUUCAUUCAAAUGCCCGAUAUCGGUGCUGUAAAUGAGCAAACAAUUGCGCUUGUCAAAUGACAUAAUCCGUCCAUAAAUAUGGUAUAAACAGUAUGGAAUCGAGUUCUAUCUACUGCAGUUGCUGUUCUUGCUCUACCGUAUUCGUAUGCGUCACAAGACGACGUCAGCUGCAAGGCAGUAGUGCACUGAGAAAAAAGACCUGCAAGUUUGCCAUAUAUUCAAUAUCUACGAUCAUUUCCCUGCACUCCCAGCUAAACAAAAGAAUGGACUGUGGAGGGGAACAGACUGGAGCAAGUGAGCUAGUUACACCAUCGCCACAAUGGGCCGUCGGCGUGACAAGUGCAAUCAGUGCUGAUACAAAUUAAUUACGACGCAGACAGAGCGCAGACGAAUCGCUAUAUAUAUAUAUAUGCACCGAUAUCGCGUGGGGAGAUCUCGGCUUGACAUUGGCAUCUCAACGGCAAGAAGAGAAGCCCGCCAAGUGGCCGGCGGCGAAGUGGCGUAGCAAGUGCCGUAAUCCGAGACAGCCACAGCCAUAUCCACAUCCGAGAGACGCCGCCACCGAUCGCGGCAUCUUCGCAGCUGCAACAUGAAUAUACAUAUAUAUAUGCAUACAUGUAUGACAAACAGGAAGUAAUCACUCUCCUUUGCAUGCGAACGAUUUACAAUAAAUAAUUAUGAUAAUGCUGCUCUGCUGCUGCUGGCGAUGCCAGUGAUGAAUGCCAGCUCAAACGACCGGAAGGAAGUGUUUGCACUUGUUAAUGGAUCCCGGAUCCACAAUCCUCAGUCCCAAGUGCCCAAGUGCCCCAUCUCCGAUCUGCGAUCUGCAAUCUGCAAUCUCAGCGGCGCAAGAUCAUCGUGUCUGAAUUGGCAACACCUUCGGGUAACAAAGCAAAAUGGGCGGGCUUCUUUGGGAGCGGGGGGCGUGGUUAGAGCCAUAAAAGUCGGAACUUGAGCUAUCUGGUAAAUCAGCAAUUAGGUUAUAAUAGUGAAAAAGGGCUUAAGUGCCGCCUGCCGUUUGAAGCAAAUGCAAAAGCAAGUGGGCUGGACAUUAAAGUUAAUUACCUCAUAUAUUCGGCACUUAAAGCUCCGAAACUGUUGUAUAUAUAAUUAUUUAUGGUAAUUUCAGCAAUUGCGAAAUUGUAGCAAUUCAUUCAUUUUUAAAUGCUCAUCAGUAAAUGUGUAUAUAGAUUUUUUUGUAGAACCCGAUGGAGAUUUCGAGCCCAAAAAACGUAGUACUGCAAAGUGAAAUAAAUGGUUAAAGUCAAAAAAU